Molecule: ribosomal RNA, 543 nt
Filed under: uncultured bacterium
Lineage: Bacteria
Description: bacterial SSU rRNA
Rfam family: Bacterial small subunit ribosomal RNA
Source: RNAcentral
AAUAGAUACCCGGGUAGUCCACGCCGUAAACGAUGAGUGCUAAGUGUUAGAGGGUUUCCGCCCUUUAGUGCUGCAGCAAACGCAUUAAGCACUCCGCCUGGGGAGUACGGCCGCAAGGCUGAAACUCAAAGGAAUUGACGGGGGGCCCGCACAAGCGGUGGAGCAUGUGGUUUAAUUCGAAGCAACGCGAAGAACCUUACCAGGUCUUGACAUCCCGCUGACUGCUCUGGAGACAGGGCUUUCCCUUCGGGGACAGCGGUGACAGGUGGUGCAUGGUUGUCGUCAGCUCGUGUCGUGAGAUGUUGGGUUAAGUCCCGCAACGAGCGCAACCCUUGAUCUUAGUUGCCAGCAUUCAGUUGGGCACUCUAAGGUGACUGCCGGUGACAAACCGGAGGAAGGUGGGGGAUGACGUCAAAUCAUCAUGCCCCUUAUGACCUGGGCUACACACGUGCUACAAGUGGAUGGUACAGAGGGCUGCAAGACCGCGAGGUUUACGCCAAUACCCGUUAAAACCAUUCGUACAGUUCGGAUUGUACGGCUACG